GACGAACGCUGGCGGCGUGCCUAAUACAUGCAAGUAGAACGCACAGUUUAUGCCGUAGCUUGCUACACCAUAGACUGUGAGUUGCGAACGGGUGAGUAACGCGUAGGUAACCUGCCUGGUAGCGGGGGAUAACUAUUGGAAACGAUAGCUAAUACCGCAUAAUAUUAAUUAUUGCAUGAUAAUUGAUUGAAAGAUGCAACUGCAUCACUACCAGAUGGCCCUGCGUUGUAUUAGCUAGUAGGUGAGGUAACGGCUCACCUAGGCGACGAUACAUAGCCGACCUGCGAGGGUGAUCGGCCACACUGGGACUGAGACACGGCCCAGACUCCUACGGGAGGCAGCAGGAGGGAAUCUUCGGCAAUGGACGAAAGUCUGACCGAGCAACGCCGCGUGAGUGAAGAAGGUUUUCGGAUCGUAAAGCUCUGUUGUAAGAGAAGAACGGGUGUGAGAGUGGAAAGUUCACACUGUGACGGUAUCUUACCAGAAAGGGACGGCUAACUACGUG
RNAcentral lists this ribosomal RNA (505 nucleotides) under uncultured bacterium. Its description in RNAcentral is "partial 16S ribosomal RNA". It matches the Rfam family "Bacterial small subunit ribosomal RNA", at positions 28 to 507 of the family's 1533-position model. The record is from RNAcentral.